RNAcentral lists this small RNA (111 nucleotides) under Bradyrhizobium elkanii. RNAcentral's name for it is "Guanidine-I sequence". It matches the Rfam family "Guanidine-I riboswitch aptamer". Rfam says of the family: This family represents a conserved RNA structure found upstream of the ykkC and yxkD genes in Bacillus subtilis and related genes in other bacteria. The record is from RNAcentral. Lineage: Bacteria; Pseudomonadati; Pseudomonadota; Alphaproteobacteria; Hyphomicrobiales; Nitrobacteraceae.
CGAGUUGGCCGCUAGGGUUCCGACCUUGCCACGCAAGGUGCUGGUCCGAGAGCAGCCGCUUGCGGGGGAGACAUCCCCGCAGGUGCACGGCGGGAUAAAAGCCCGGGAGAC